Molecule: ribosomal RNA, 407 nt
Filed under: uncultured bacterium
Lineage: Bacteria
Description: partial 16S ribosomal RNA
Rfam family: Bacterial small subunit ribosomal RNA
Source: RNAcentral
AUUGAACGCUGGCGGCAGGCCUAACACAUGCAAGUCGAGCGGAGCGGCGGACGGGUGAGUAAUGCCUAGGAAUCUGCCUGGUCGUGGGGGAUAACGUCAGGUACCGGGCGCUAAUACCGCAUCCUAUCAGCUGAGCCUAGGUCGGAUUAGCUUGUUGGUGGGGUAAGGGCUCACCAAGGCGACGAUCCCUAGCUGGUCUGAGAGGAUGACCAGCCAAACUGGAACUGAGACACGGUCCAGACUCCUACGGGAGGCAGCAGUGGGGAAUAUUGCACAAUGGGCGCAAGCCUGAUGCAGCCAUGCCGCGUGUAUGAAGAAGGCCUUCGGGUUGUAAAGUACUUUCAGCGGGGAGGCGUUACCCGCAGAAGAAGCACCGGCUAACUCCGUGCCAGCAGCCGCGGUAAUUC